GACGAACGCUGGCGGCGUGCCUAAUACAUGCAAGUUGAGCGCUGAAGGUUGGUACUUGUACCAACUGGAUGAGCAGCGAACGGGUGAGUAACGCGUGGGGAAUCUGCCUUUGAGCGGGGGACAACAUUUGGAAACGAAUGCUAAUACCGCAUAAAAACUUUAAACACAAGUUUUAAGUUUGAAAGAUGCAAUUGCAUCACUCAAAGAUGAUCCCGCGUUGUAUUAGCUAGUUGGUGAGGUAAAGGCUCACCAAGGCGAUGAUACAUAGCCGACCUGAGAGGGUGAUCGGCCACAUUGGGACUGAGACACGGCCCAAACUCCUACGGGAGGCAGCAGUAGGGAAUCUUCGGCAAUGGACGAAAGUCUGACCGAGCAACGCCGCGUGAGUGAAGAAGGUUUUCGGAUCGUAAAACUCUGUUGGUAGAGAAGAACGUUGGUGACAGUGGAAAGCUCAUCAAGUGACGGUAACUACCCAGAAAGGGACGGCUAACUACGUG
This 497-nucleotide ribosomal RNA is filed under the name uncultured bacterium. RNAcentral's name for it is "partial 16S ribosomal RNA". It matches the Rfam family "Bacterial small subunit ribosomal RNA", at positions 28 to 507 of the family's 1533-position model. The record is from RNAcentral.